Aegilops tauschii subsp. strangulata is the source of this 1216-nucleotide long non-coding RNA. RefSeq lists it as uncharacterized. The record is from RefSeq and is a predicted model, not a curated record. Lineage: Eukaryota; Viridiplantae; Streptophyta; Magnoliopsida; Poales; Poaceae.
UUCUAUCAAGAUCUAAUUUUGUUUAAUUUUCUACCAAGAUCUAUAAUUCAGUUUAGAUUUUUCUGUCAGUUUGAUGUAUCGUUCGCUAAGUCAAUAAAAUUAAGUGUUUAUAAUGCAUUCAGUUUAGUUUUCUAUCAAAAUAUAAUUUAGUACUCCCUCCGUCCCAAAAUUCUUGUCGGAGAAAUGGAUAAAAUUGGAUGUAUCUAUAAUUAAAAUACGUCUAGAUUCAUCCAUUUCCCCGACAAGUAUUUCCGGACGGAGGGAGUAUGAACCAAUGUAAUCAAGUGGUGAAUAAUUUCAUCAAAUAGGAGACAUUAUUUCUGUUAUUGUAUUAAUAUGGCGACAUGUUCUGUUCAAAGUUUUCUCCAUACACUUCUGUACAUAUUGUAAACUGCAACUCGGUGAAUAUAUAUAACCAGAAUUAAGUUAAUCUGAAUCUAAGAAGAAAAUUACAUCGGUACAGUGUGGCAGUCCUACAGUUAUAAUAUAGAGGUUUGAGCCUGUUCAUUUGUUUACUAAGGACAUGUAGUACUGCUACUAUUAGUUGUGCGCCUACUAGUACUAGAACAAAUGCCACGUUAGUUCACUCUCCCUCAACCUGGAGGCACACACCAAGCUAGAACUUGCCAACACUGUGACACACAUUUCUUCUUCAACUUGUGUUGCCUCCAAGCCAGGUCGCCCUCCGCAAUAGUUUUGCUGACAAGUAAGGGUUGAUGUCUACUGUCUGAUCCUAAAUCUGUUCCCUGAUGUUUUCCCUUUUUUACGAUCAAUUAACACUGUAAUCUCCCUGAUUAUGAUCUCUGUUUUUUGAGAUGUAGGUCUAGGUGGUGCUGUAGAAGUCGUGCCGCUGCAUGGCGCAUAAUAGAGCUCGAGAGGGCGGCUGCGAUAACUAUAGUGGAGCUGCUCCGUGAUCAAACCAGGGGUAUGAUUUGGUAGCGGGCUUCUUGGUGCUGGCCAUCACAAUCCUCUAUGACAUGAUACUUACCAUCAGGAGGGCCGACGACAAGAACCUGAAUAAUAACCUCAAUAGUAUCAUAUGUUCUGUUGUUGUAAAUUGGAUUGUACUGGUUCCUGACCUUGUUGUGUGAUACAUUUUGUCAAUAUAUUCUGUAAAUUAUCGUUUCAUGGAGGAUUUUGUAAACUGAUGUGGUGUAGAUACCAAUGGAUGACUGCAUAUUGAAUAUCCGUGUAAUAUAUGAUCACACUUUGGAAA